ACAAACUUGGUCAUUUAGAGGAAGUAAAGUCGUAACAAGGUUUCCGUAGGUGAACCUGCGGAAGGAUCAUUAGAGAACAGCCAUUGGCCUUUACCCUUUAUUCACACCGUGUGAACUGAUGAUCGAGCGGGAAAGGACUUUUCCCGGUUGAGGGGUGGGCCGAGAGGCCUACCUGAAUCACCUUGUCAACCACACCGUGAAUGGCAACGCCGCAAUCGGCGAUUUGAAGGAAUACAACUUUCAGCAACGGAUCGCUAGGCUCCCGCAUCGAUGAAGAACGCAGC
This 284-nucleotide unclassified non-coding RNA is filed under the name uncultured fungus. Its description in RNAcentral is "partial contains small subunit ribosomal RNA, internal transcribed spacer 1, and 5.8S ribosomal RNA". The stretch from base 1 to 72 matches the Rfam family "Eukaryotic small subunit ribosomal RNA", at positions 1759 to 1831 of the family's 1831-position model. Lineage: Eukaryota; Fungi. The record is from RNAcentral.